This 203-nucleotide long non-coding RNA is filed under the name Elaeis guineensis (African oil palm). RNAcentral describes it as "long non-coding RNA (EGUI_LNC058472)". Lineage: Eukaryota; Viridiplantae; Streptophyta; Magnoliopsida; Arecales; Arecaceae. The record is from RNAcentral.
GGGUUCUCUUGUCUCAAUGAGCUUGGAUAUCCCUAGGGCUGGCGUCUAAUCUAUUUUAUUUAAAGGUUAUAGAUUUUGCCCUUAAAAUAUUUUAUGGAUACGCAAUGUAACAAAGUAAUAAAAAUAGAUAAAUUUUAAUCAAUAAAAAAUCAAUAAUAAAUAAAAUCCAGUAAGUAUGCAAAAGAAAAAGGUUAGAACACGUA